RNAcentral lists this ribosomal RNA (667 nucleotides) under uncultured Lachnospiraceae bacterium. RNAcentral describes it as "bacterial SSU rRNA". It matches the Rfam family "Bacterial small subunit ribosomal RNA", at positions 63 to 730 of the family's 1533-position model. Lineage: Bacteria; Bacillati; Bacillota; Clostridia; Lachnospirales; Lachnospiraceae. The record is from RNAcentral.
CGAACGAAGCACCUUGGACAGAUUCUUCGGAUGAAGUCCUUAGUGACUGAGUGGCGGACGGGUGAGUAACGCGUGGGUAACCUGCCUCAUACAGGGGGAUAACAGUUAGAAAUGGCUGCUAAUACCGCAUAAGCGCACGGUACUGCAUGGUACAGUGUGAAAAACUCCGGUGGUAUGAGAUGGACCCGCGUUGGAUUAGCUAGUUGGCAGGGUAACGGCCUACCAAGGCGACGAUCCAUAGCCGGCCUGAGAGGGUGGACGGCCACAUUGGGACUGAGACACGGCCCAGACUCCUACGGGAGGCAGCAGUGGGGAAUAUUGCACAAUGGGGGAAACCCUGAUGCAGCGACGCCGCGUGAGCGAAGAAGUAUUUCGGUAUGUAAAGCUCUAUCAGCAGGGAAGAAAAUGACGGUACCUGACUAAGAAGCCCCGGCUAACUACGUGCCAGCAGCCGCGGUAAUACGUAGGGGGCAAGCGUUAUCCGGAUUUACUGGGUGUAAAGGGAGCGUAGACGGAAUGGCAAGUCUGAUGUGAAAGGCCGGGGCUCAACCCCGGGACUGCAUUGGAAACUGCCAAUCUAGAGUACCGGAGGGGUAAGUGGAAUUCCUAGUGUAGCGGUGAAAUGCGUAGAUAUUAGGAGGAACACCAGUGGCGAAGGCGGCUUACU